AUUGUAUCGAUUUCAAUCUUUUUUGUUUGAAGUCGGAUGUGGAUGUUGUUGCGGUAUUGCGACUCAUCCUAAAUGCAUUAGCGGUCUGUCUCGAUCACGCACAAUGUGAUAAAAAGAAGCAUUGUUGAGAUCAAGUCAAGGUUGCUUCCAACCGUCGAAAGACAACAGCAUAUAAUGUC
RNAcentral lists this unclassified non-coding RNA (179 nucleotides) under uncultured Geastrum. Its description in RNAcentral is "sequence contains ITS2". Lineage: Eukaryota; Fungi; Basidiomycota; Agaricomycetes; Geastrales; Geastraceae. The record is from RNAcentral.